UGGGGAAUCUUAGACAAUGGGGGCAACCCUGAUCUAGCCAUGCCGCGUGUGUGAUGAAGGCCCUAGGGUCGUAAAGCACUUUCGCCUGUGAAGAUAAUGACGGUAGCAGGUAAAGAAACCCCGGCUAACUCCGUGCCAGCAGCCGCGGUAAUACGGAGGGGGUUAGCGUUGUUCGGAAUUACUGGGCGUAAAGCGCAUGUAGGCGGACCAUUAAGUUGGGGGUGAAAUCCCGGGGCUCAACCCCGGAACUGCCUCCAAAACUGCUGGUCUUGAGGUCGAGAGAGGUGAGUGGAAUUCCGAGUGUAGAGGUGAAAUUCGUAGAUAUUCGGAGGAACACCAGUGGCGAAGGCGGCUCACUGGCUCGAUACUGACGCUGAGAUGCGAAAGCGUGGGGAGCAAACAGGAUUAGAUACCCCCGUAGUCC
Molecule: ribosomal RNA, 424 nt
Filed under: uncultured prokaryote
Description: bacterial SSU rRNA
Rfam family: Bacterial small subunit ribosomal RNA
Source: RNAcentral